This 468-nucleotide ribosomal RNA is filed under the name uncultured bacterium. RNAcentral describes it as "partial 16S ribosomal RNA". It matches the Rfam family "Bacterial small subunit ribosomal RNA", at positions 28 to 507 of the family's 1533-position model. The record is from RNAcentral.
GACGAACGCUGGCGGCGUGCUUAACACAUGCAAGUCGAACGGAAAGGCCCUGCUUUUGUGGGGUGCUCGAGUGGCGAACGGGUGAGUAACACGUGAGUAACCUGCCCUUGACUUUGGGAUAACUUCAGGAAACUGGGGCUAAUACCGGAUAGGAGCUCCUGCUGCAUGGUGGGGGUUGGAAAGUUUCGGCGGUUGGGGAUGGACUCGCGGCUUAUCAGCUUGUUGGUGGGGUAGUGGCUUACCAAGGCUUUGACGGGUAGCCGGCCUGAGAGGGUGACCGGGCACAUUGGGGCUGAGAUACGGCCCCGACUCCUACGGGGGGCAAGAGGGGGGAAUAUUGAACAAUGGGGGGAAGCCUGAUGCAAGAACGCCGCGUGCGGGAAGAAGGCCUUCGGGUUGGAAACCGCUUUCGCCUGGGACGAAGGGGGAGUGACGGUAAUGGGUAAAGAAGCACCGGCUAACUACGUG